RNAcentral lists this ribosomal RNA (859 nucleotides) under marine metagenome. RNAcentral's name for it is "bacterial SSU rRNA". It matches the Rfam family "Bacterial small subunit ribosomal RNA", at positions 418 to 1296 of the family's 1533-position model. The record is from RNAcentral.
UUGGGUUGUAAAGCUCUUUCGUCGGGGAAGAAAAUGACUGUACCCGAAUAAGAAGGUCCGGCUAACUUCGUGCCAGCAGCCGCGGUAAUACGAAGGGACCUAGCGUAGUUCGGAAUUACUGGGCUUAAAGAGUUCGUAGGUGGUUGAAAAAGUUGGUGGUGAAAUCCCAGAGCUUAACUCUGGAACUGCCAUCAAAACUUUUCAGCUAGAGUAUGAUAGAGGAAAGCAGAAUUUCUAGUGUAGAGGUGAAAUUCGUAGAUAUUAGAAAGAAUACCAAUUGCGAAGGCAGCUUUCUGGAUCAUUACUGACACUGAGGAACGAAAGCAUGGGUAGCGAAGAGGAUUAGAUACCCUCGUAGUCCAUGCCGUAAACGAUGUGUGUUAGACGUUGGAAAUUUAUUUUCAGUGUCGCAGCGAAAGCGAUAAACACACCGCCUGGGGAGUACGACCGCAAGGUUAAAACUCAAAUGAAUUGACGGGGACCCGCACAAGUAGUGGAGCAUGUGGUUUAAUUCGAAGAUACGCGCAGAACCUUACCAACACUUGACAUGUUCGUCGCGACUUUAAGAGAUUAAAGUUUUCGGUUCGGCCGGACGAAACACAGGUGCUGCAUGGCUGUCGUCAGCUCGUGUCGUGAGAUGUUGGGUUAAGUCCCGCAACGAGCGCAACCCUCACUUUUAGUUGCCAUCAUUUAGUUGGGCACUCUGAAAGAACUGCCAGUGAUAAGCUGGAGGAAGGUGGGGAUGACGUCAAGUCCUCAUGGCCCUUACGUGUUGGGCUACACACGUGCUACAAUGGUAUCUACAACAGGAAGCAAAACCGCGAGGUUAAGCAAAUCCUUAAAAGAUACCUCAGUUCGG